This 500-nucleotide ribosomal RNA is filed under the name uncultured bacterium. Its description in RNAcentral is "partial 16S ribosomal RNA". It matches the Rfam family "Bacterial small subunit ribosomal RNA", at positions 29 to 523 of the family's 1533-position model. The record is from RNAcentral.
AUUGAACGCUGGCGGCAUGCUUUACACAUGCAAGUCGAACGGCAGCACGGGGGCAACCCUGGUGGCGAGUGGCGAACGGGUGAGUAAUGUAUCGGAACGUACCCGGCAAUGGGGGAUAGCUCGGCGAAAGCCGGAUUAAUACCGCAUAUGCCCUGAGGGGGAAAGCAGGGGAUCGAAAGACCUUGCGUUGUCGGAGCGGCCGAUAUCAGAUUAGCUUGUUGGUGAGGUAAAGGCUCACCAAGGCGACGAUCUGUAGCUGGUCUGAGAGGACGACCAGCCACACUGGGACUGAGACACGGCCCAGACGCCUACGGGAGGCAGCAGUGGGGAAGUUUGGACAAUGGGGGCAACCCUGAUCCAGCCAUGCCGCGUGAGGGGAGAAGGCCUUCGGGUUGUAAAGCUCUUUCGGACGGAAAGAAAUCGCACUUGAUAAUACCUUGUGUGGAUGACGGUACCGUAAGAAGAAGCACCGGCUAACUACGUGCCAGCAGCCGCAGUAA